Molecule: transfer RNA, 67 nt
Filed under: Phoetalia pallida
Lineage: Eukaryota; Metazoa; Arthropoda; Insecta; Blattodea; Blaberidae
Description: tRNA-Tyr
Source: RNAcentral
AGUAGAAUGGCUGAGGUUAAAAGGUAAAGGAUUGUAAAUCUUUUCAGGAGUAUAAACUCUUCUACUA